RNAcentral lists this ribosomal RNA (474 nucleotides) under Centipeda flueggei. RNAcentral describes it as "bacterial SSU rRNA". It matches the Rfam family "Bacterial small subunit ribosomal RNA", at positions 28 to 476 of the family's 1533-position model. The record is from RNAcentral. Lineage: Bacteria; Bacillati; Bacillota; Negativicutes; Selenomonadales; Selenomonadaceae.
GACGAACGCUGGCGGCGUGCUUAACACAUGCAAGUCGAACGGAGCGAAUGAAAGCUUGCUUUUAUGAGCUUAGUGGCAAACGGGUGAGUAACACGUAGACAACCUGCCGACAGGAUGGGGACAACAUUCCGAAAGGAAUGCUAAUACCGAAUGAAGUCAGAGAAGGGCAUCCUUUUCUGAUGAAAGAUGGCCUCUUUUUAUGCUAUCACCUGUUGAUGGGUCUGCGUCUGAUUAGCUGGUAGGUGAGGUAACGGCUCACCUAGGCGACGAUCAGUAGCCGGUCUGAGAGGAUGAACGGCCACAUUGGGACUGAGACACGGCCCAGACUCCUACGGGAGGCAGCAGUGGGGAAUCUUCCGCAAUGGGCGCAAGCCUGACGGAGCAACGCCGCGUGAGUGAAGAAGGUCUUCGGAUCGUAAAGCUCUGUUGACGGGGACGAACGUGCGUGAUGCGAAUAGUGUCAUGCAAGACGGU